AAGACCCUGGCUCAAAAAAUAAUAAAGAGACUUCAAAAUCAUAUCACCUAAGUAAUUUUUUGACAAUUUAAAUGGUGGUGGGAGUGGGGAGGAAGAACCUAACAUCAAGACAUCCACCUUGUGGAAAAAUAUGGUAAUUACAGGCCUACAUUUAUUAUACAUUGGAAGUAAAGUCAAAGUUUUUAGCUAUGUAUCUACAGUCCUUCAACAACAAAUUCAAGCUCAGAAAUGCAAAAUCCUAGUGGUACUAUUAAAACUGCUAUUACUAUAUGCUUCCAAUACCCAUUUGUCUAGUUUUUUCCAGAGACCUUUUUCUCCAUUUUUCAUAUGAAAACAUCUCAGAAGACAUUCGUAAGCAAAUGAACAUAUGAAACUGAAUAUAUGAAAAAUAUUUUCAAAAAGUAGAUUUCUAUAAAUCCCAUUUGCUUAUUUAGCUGCAAAUUUAUUUACAGUGAUGAUACUAGGAACACACUACUAGUUCAUAUUCAAACAAAAAAUGUUUGUUAGAAUGAACAACAAAGUACUGGUUAGCAGUUCCAUAGUUCUAUGAAAAUACAGCAGUAUUUUUAAAGUAAUAAAAUUUUUUUAAAAAACCUUUUCAAAGUUUUUAAUCUCAACUGUAAAUCUUAAAGAUAUAAAUGGGGAAAUUCUAAAAAUUCAGUUUUCUUACUAAGCAAUGGGAGGAAAGAAAUCUGGAUAUAUGGUAUAUAUGACAAUAAUUUAAUGUUUCAAAUUGCAGACAUGUUAUAUAUGUGUAUUAUUCCUUUCUAAAUGCAGUUUAUUAUCCCUUCUCAAAAAUACAUACACUGAAUUAAUACAAUUCAGGUGUGUUCCCUAAAAGACUGGUCUACACCACCAGUCCAUUCUCUGCUUUCCAGAUAGCCUAAUUAUAAUGGUGACACCUGAUGUGGCAGAAAGCACAAUCUCCAGAACCACCUAUCAUCUUGCUUCAAUUUUUACGGUCCAAGUUAGAUUUGUUUGUUGAUACUAUUUGCUGGUAUUUUAUUUUGCUCAAAAUUCUACUUGUUUAUUCAUAGCAUAUAUGAUUCUUCCAUACUUUAAGUUUUAAUUAGAUGAGAAACUUAUACACUAACUGUAUCUGGUUUAACUGUUAAUAGGUGAUAACAGAAUGGUUAAAGAACUGACUCCAGCAACUGUGAAGCUCCACACUAGGCACUGAACUCAGAGUUGGCAGAAUUUGUCACUGUAGACUACAAAUUUCAUGUUCAGUUAAAUGCUGUAUGAAAACCACUCCAUCUAUUAUUCAUUUAAAAGAUCUGCUGGCCUUUUAAGUUGGUGUUGGCCAUCCAUAAUACUACAAUUUGGUGGCAAUGAGAUCACUAUAGUAAUGGCUGUAGAGUUUAGUAUUUAGGUUUCUGCCUAGCUAUACUAACGUAAAAUUUCUUCUCUUCCAUGUCCUUUUCCAUGUGUACUUCUGGGACAGUUACCACCUUACAGCUCUAUUUGGUUGAGGACAAGCGGUAAACCUACACCAGGGUGUUAGAUUACAAUCCAGGUGCUUACAGCUAUAAAUAUCCCUCCGAGCACUGCUUUCAACGGAUCACAUGUUUUGGUGACUGGGAAUGUGUCUGGACAUUAUGAGACAUAAGGAAGAAGUCAGGGAUGGUGACAGGUGGGCCAGUGUGUAAGAAGAACCUCAGACACCAAUAUUUUGCUUUCACUCAACAGAUACACAGCUUCUCCAUGCUAUACUUUGUUAAAGCUUAAUUUUAGAAGAUUAAGUACUUCUCCAUUUCAAAGAUACUAUCACAAAGUUAUAAUUUCACUAG
Long non-coding RNA from Nomascus leucogenys (northern white-cheeked gibbon), 1790 nucleotides. RefSeq lists it as uncharacterized. The record is from RefSeq and is a predicted model, not a curated record. NCBI's taxonomy places the organism in Eukaryota, Metazoa, Chordata, Mammalia, Primates, Hylobatidae. The transcript has 3 exons.